This 885-nucleotide ribosomal RNA is filed under the name Staphylococcus haemolyticus. RNAcentral describes it as "bacterial SSU rRNA". It matches the Rfam family "Bacterial small subunit ribosomal RNA", at positions 53 to 922 of the family's 1533-position model. Lineage: Bacteria; Bacillati; Bacillota; Bacilli; Caryophanales; Staphylococcaceae. The record is from RNAcentral.
ACUGCAGUCGAGCGACAGAUAAGGAGCUUGCUCCUUUGACGUUAGCGGCGGACGGGUGAGUAACACGUGGGUAACCUACCUAUAAGACUGGGAUAACUUCGGGAAACCGGAGCUAAUACCGGAUAAUAUUUCGAACCGCAUGGUUCGAUAGUGAAAGAUGGUUUUGCUAUCACUUAUAGAUGGACCCGCGCCGUAUUAGCUAGUUGGUAAGGUAACGGCUUACCAAGGCGACGAUACGUAGCCGACCUGAGAGGGUGAUCGGCCACACUGGAACUGAGACACGGUCCAGACUCCUACGGGAGGCAGCAGUAGGGAAUCUUCCGCAAUGGGCGAAAGCCUGACGGAGCAACGCCGCGUGAGUGAUGAAGGUCUUCGGAUCGUAAAACUCUGUUAUUAGGGAAGAACAUACGUGUAAGUAACUGUGCACGUCUUGACGGUACCUAAUCAGAAAGCCACGGCUAACUACGUGCCAGCAGCCGCGGUAAUACGUAGGUGGCAAGCGUUAUCCGGAAUUAUUGGGCGUAAAGCGCGCGUAGGCGGUUUUUUAAGUCUGAUGUGAAAGCCCACGGCUCAACCGUGGAGGGUCAUUGGAAACUGGAAAACUUGAGUGCAGAAGAGGAAAGUGGAAUUCCAUGUGUAGCGGUGAAAUGCGCAGAGAUAUGGAGGAACACCAGUGGCGAAGGCGACUUUCUGGUCUGUAACUGACGCUGAUGUGCGAAAGCGUGGGGAUCAAACAGGAUUAGAUACCCUGGUAGUCCACGCCGUAAACGAUGAGUGCUAAGUGUUAGGGGGUUUCCGCCCCUUAUUGCUGCAGCUAACGNAUUAAGCACUCCGCCUGGGGAGUACGACCUCAAGGUUGAUACUCAAUGAAUUUAGNGGGAACUC